Molecule: unclassified non-coding RNA, 402 nt
Filed under: Hevea brasiliensis (rubber tree)
Lineage: Eukaryota; Viridiplantae; Streptophyta; Magnoliopsida; Malpighiales; Euphorbiaceae
Source: RNAcentral
UUUCUUCUUUAUCUUGGUUGGUUUCUCUCUUUAGUUAUUAUCUUUGAAUUAUUCAAACCAUAUCAUAGUCUUUGAAGGGCUUCUUUCUUUGUGGAAACUGCUGUGGGAUUAACUCGUUUCAGGUUUUCUUCGAUCUCUUCAGUUUGGGUUCUUGAAAUCUCAGGUUUUGUUGUUAUGAAGCUGGGCCGUUUUAAAAACAGUUAUUUUCGAGCUCUAGUGUGCAACAGAUAACAAUUUGAGGGGUUCUUUUAGCAAAAUUAUAUGGCUUUCUUCGUGAAAAUGAUGUUGGGUAGACAUGUUCUUAAGAUUUUAGUUGGCAACUGUCUUUGGUUGUUGCUUAGCUGUAGUUUGAGCUAUGGUACCGAGACUGAUAUUGCUUGCUUGAAGAGUAUAAAAGCCUCA